RNAcentral lists this ribosomal RNA (242 nucleotides) under uncultured Actinomycetales bacterium. Its description in RNAcentral is "partial 16S ribosomal RNA". It matches the Rfam family "Bacterial small subunit ribosomal RNA", at positions 88 to 334 of the family's 1533-position model. Lineage: Bacteria; Bacillati; Actinomycetota; Actinomycetes; Actinomycetales. The record is from RNAcentral.
UACUCGAGUGGCGAACGGGUGAGUAACACGUGGGUGAUCUGCCCUGCACUUCGGGAUAAGCUUGGGAAACUGGGUCUAAUACCGGAUAGGAGCCAUCUUUAGUGUGGUGGUUGGAAAGUUUUUUGGUGUAGGAUGAGCUCGCGGCCUAUCAGCUUGUUGGUGUGGUAAUGGCCUACCAAGGCGGCGACGGGUAGCCGGCCUGAGAGGGUGUACGGCCACAUUGGGACUGAGAUACGGCCCAG